AGUGAACGCUGGCGGUAGGCCUAACACAUGCAAGUCGAACGGCAGCACAGUAAGAGCUUGCUCUUACGGGUGGCGAGUGGCGGACGGGUGAGGAAUACAUCGGAAUCUACUUUUUCGUGGGGGAUAACGUAGGGAAACUUACGCUAAUACCGCAUACGACCUACGGGUGAAAGCAGGGGAUCUUCGGACCUUGCGCGAUUGAAUGAGCCGAUGUCGGAUUAGCUAGUUGGCGGGGUAAAGGCCCACCAAGGCGACGAUCCGUAGCUGGUCUGAGAGGAUGAUCAGCCACACUGGAACUGAGACACGGUCCAGACUCCGACGGGAGGCAGCAGUGGGGAAUAUUGGACAAUGGGCGCAAGCCUGAUCCAGCCAUACCGCGUGGGUGAAGAAGGCCUUCGGGUUGGAGAGCCCUUUUGUUGGGAAAGAAAAGCAGCAGGUUAAUACCCCGCUGUUCUGACGGUACCCAAAGAAUAAGCACCGGCUAACUUCGUG
This 492-nucleotide ribosomal RNA is filed under the name uncultured bacterium. RNAcentral's name for it is "partial 16S ribosomal RNA". It matches the Rfam family "Bacterial small subunit ribosomal RNA", at positions 29 to 507 of the family's 1533-position model. The record is from RNAcentral.